RNAcentral lists this ribosomal RNA (468 nucleotides) under uncultured bacterium. RNAcentral describes it as "partial 16S ribosomal RNA". It matches the Rfam family "Bacterial small subunit ribosomal RNA", at positions 28 to 507 of the family's 1533-position model. The record is from RNAcentral.
GACGAACGCUGGCGGCGUGCUUAACACAUGCAAGUCGAACGGAAAGGCCCUGCUCUUGUGGGGUGCUCGAGUGGCGAACGGGUGAGUAACACGUGAGUAUCCUGCCCUUGACUUUGGGAUAACUUCAGGAAACUGGGGCUAAUACCGGAUAGGAGCUCCUGCUGAAUGGUGGGGGUUGGAAAGUUUCGGCGGUUGGGGAUGGACUCGCGGCUUAUCAGCUUGUUGGUGGGGUAGUGGCUUACCAAGCCUUUGACGGGUAGCCGACCUGUGAGGGUGACCGGCCACAUUGGGACUACGGUACGGCCCAGACUCCAACGGGAGGCAGCAGUGGGGAGUAUUACACAAUGGGCGGCAGCCUGAUACAGCGGCGCCGCGUGCGGAAUGACGGCCUUCGGGUGGUGAACCGCUUUCGCCUGUGACGUGGCGUGAGUGACGGUAAUGAGUAAAGAAGCACCGGCUAACUACGUG